CCUACGGGAGGCAGCAGUAAGGAAUAUUGGUCAAUGGACGCAAGUCUGAACCAGCCAUGCCGCGUGAAGGAUUAAGGCCCUCUGGGUUGUAAAACUUCUUUUAUAGGGACGAAAAAAGGGCAUUCUUGCUCACUUGACGGUACCCUAGGAAUAAGCACCGGCUAACUCCGUGCCAGCAGCCGCGGUAAUACGGAGGGUGCAAGUGUUAUCCGGAUUUACUGGGUUUAAAGGGUGCGUAGGUGGGUUGGUAAGUCAGUGGUGAAAUCUUCGAGCUUAACUCGGAAACUGCCAUUGAUACUAUCAAUCUUGAAUCAUCUAGAGGUAAGCGGAAUAUGUCAUGUAGCGGUGAAAUGCUUAGAUAUGACAUAGAACACCAAUUGCGAAGGCAGCUUACUAUGGAUGCAUUGACACUGAGGCACGAAAGCGUGGGGAUCAAACAGGAUUAGAUACCCUGGUAGUCCACGCCCUAAACGAUGGAUACUCGACAUUUGUGUAUAUACUAAUAAGUAGUCUGAGACGAAGACAUUAAGUUAAUACCCUACCCGUACGGAACGGUAACGACCGACCGAACGGUUAGUAAACGUAACGAAAGUAAAGUUAAGUACGGACGUCGAGACGUACGACCGACGGACGACCGACCGGACGGGAGGGAGGGAGG
RNAcentral lists this ribosomal RNA (658 nucleotides) under uncultured bacterium. RNAcentral describes it as "bacterial SSU rRNA". The stretch from base 1 to 543 matches the Rfam family "Bacterial small subunit ribosomal RNA", at positions 338 to 873 of the family's 1533-position model. The record is from RNAcentral.